This is a long non-coding RNA of Penaeus monodon (black tiger shrimp), 164 nucleotides long. RefSeq lists it as uncharacterized. The record is from RefSeq and is a predicted model, not a curated record. NCBI's taxonomy places the organism in Eukaryota, Metazoa, Arthropoda, Malacostraca, Decapoda, Penaeidae. The transcript has 3 exons.
AGGAGAUUUUGCCUCACACCCUUCAGUGUUCCCCCAAGAAAAGGAAUGCACCAUGGAUAAGCGAAUAUUAAUCCUGGUUCUUUUAGUGUCUUCGCUGUGCAUAAUGGCUGAUGCUCAUGAGAAGAGGAGUCCGCUAGCCAGAAGUGGCCCAAGCCGUCCGCCAG